Molecule: ribosomal RNA, 516 nt
Filed under: uncultured bacterium
Lineage: Bacteria
Description: bacterial SSU rRNA
Rfam family: Bacterial small subunit ribosomal RNA
Source: RNAcentral
GACGAACGCUGGCGGCGUGCUUAAUACAUGCAAGUCGAGCGGUGAACCUGACUGAAAGCCUUCGGGCUUGACGUUGGGGGAUCAGCGGCGGAUGGGUGAGUAACGCGUGGGUACCUGCCCUAAAGUCUGGGAUAACAACUCGAAAGGGUUGCUAAUACCGGAUGUGACCGAGAGGUUAAAGGCAGAGAUGUCGCUUUAGGAUGGGGCCCGCGUCCCAUUAGCUAGUUGGUGAGGUAAGGGCUCACCAAGGCUGCGAUGGGUGGCCGGCCUGAGAGGGUGGACGGCCACACUGGGACUGAGACACGGCCCAGACUCCUACGGGAGGCAGCAGUAGGGAAUUUUCCGCAAUGGACGGAAGUCUGACGGAGCGACGCCGCGUGGGGGAAGAAGGCCUUCGGGUUGUAAACCUCUGUCUUCAGGGACGAAGAGGGUGUGGGAGACACACCGAAGCCGGUACCUGAGGAGGAAGCCCGGCUAACUACGUGCCAGCAGCCGCGGUAAAACCACAAUAGUAGU